RNAcentral lists this ribosomal RNA (235 nucleotides) under uncultured bacterium. Its description in RNAcentral is "partial 16S ribosomal RNA". It matches the Rfam family "Bacterial small subunit ribosomal RNA", at positions 99 to 334 of the family's 1533-position model. The record is from RNAcentral.
CGGACGGGUGAGUAACGCGUGGGUAACCUGCCUCAUACAGGGGGAUAACAGUUAGAAAUGACUGCUAAUACCGCAUAAGACCACAGCACCGCAUGGUGCAGGGGUAAAAACUCCGGUGGUAUGAGAUGGACCCGCGUCUGAUUAGGUAGUUGGUGGGGUAACGGCCCACCAAGCCGACGAUCAGUAGCCGACCUGAGAGGGUGACCGGCCACAUUGGGACUGAGACACGGCCCAG